This 3946-nucleotide long non-coding RNA is filed under the name Homo sapiens (human). RNAcentral's name for it is "HSALNT0156367". The record is from RNAcentral. Lineage: Eukaryota; Metazoa; Chordata; Mammalia; Primates; Hominidae.
GGCGACUUCACAUAAAAACCCACAUUUCCCUCUUCUCCUGUAACUCUGGGUGACCUGACCACACCGGGUCUGUGUUCCCAAGUGCCGCCGGAAGCUGACUGCAGCUGCCCCCUGUAGCCAGGGCAUGUGUGGGGACUGCUCUGACAACUGUCCCCCACUCCCGCAGUGCCCAGUGCCCGACACCCUGGGGAGUCACUGCCACCCCGGAGGGGCCACCAAUUCAACAUGUGACAACCCGAAGUGGAGGGAAGCAGAGGAGGAAGAGACGGAGGGGGACACACAGAUGGAAACUGAGCCCAAGAACCAAGAGUGAGCCUGAGGACCACAGCGAGGGACAGCGGGAGAGGGAGGCAGCAGGCAGACGGAGGCGAGGAGCGAUUCCUUGGGCAUCUUAAGUCACUCUCUGGCCCCUGAGCAGCUGUCUCGUUUAGGGAAAAGAGCCUGGGGAGGACAUGAAAAGGGUGAGGCCUGGACACGCUCCUUGGUCAUUUCCCAACACUGACGUCACCAUUCCUAGCCUGCCUAGGUCCUGGGGUGGCCCUCUGUGGGCGGGUGAGCACACACCUUGGCAGGAGGUGACGCAGCUGGACCACGCGUGGGAACUCCCGGCACAGCGGGCGGGCCUGGCUCAGCCCCACCUCCCCUGCCACUGGGUUCCUGGCAACCUCUGGUGGCUUCUUCCUCCUCCUUCUGCCGCCAGGAUGCAGGGGUCCCCACAGGCGAGAGGCUGAACUCAGAGCUGGCCAGGUGAGAAGCGAAGCACCGAACCACUGAAAUCUCCAGGAGACCACACUGGGUGGCAGAUGUGACAGCAACCCUCUGACCUCACGGGGCGCUGCCGUCCCAGCACAACCAGAACAAGGUGUGCCGAUGCCGGGAGCAGUGCAAACGGCCCUGGACGGGGAUGCAGAGGGCUCCGGAUCAGCCUGGGGCUCGCUGUGGGGCCCUGCUGUCAUCCCUUGGAAAUGGGUACACCCCCGGCAUAUUGAGGGGGAGGCACGCAGAGGAACAAACGUGAUAAAUGCAUCCAUGGGCUGCAAAUCGGGGGCCGCUCGGACAGCUGUCCCCCACUCCUGCAGUGCUCGCUGCCUGGCACUGUGAGGAGUCACUGCCACCCCCGAGGGGCCACCAAUUCAACAUGUGACAGGCCGAAGUGGAGGGAAGCAGAGGAGAGAGGAAGACAUAGAGGGAAACUGAACCCAAGACCCAAAAGUGAGCCGGAGGACCACAGCGGGAGAGGGAGGCAGCAGGCAGACGGAAGCGAGGAGACAGGGCGCAGAGGGGCUGCGGGGGGUGCUGGGCACACCUGGCUGAGGAAGGGACCAAAGGCCCAGAGGGUCCCAUAGUCUCAGCCUAGUACCUGUCCCCAAGCCCAGGGGCCCUGAUCACAAGGCAGCAACGUCUAUCCCACAGCUGUGAUAGGUGGGGCACAUCACACCCCGAGGGGCCCCGGCAUCCAUGAUCUCCCCUCCUGGAGGGUGGUCAGCCGCCAUCCUGGCCCCGGACUCCUUGGAAAUGCUCCACAAAGUGCCAGCUGGAAAUGUCACAGCACAGGGGGCCUUGGGAUGAGCCAGCCCCAAGGGGCCAUUCUUUCCUGUGGGUUUGGGGAACUCUUUUAAGAUCUGGAGUGCAGAUUCGGGUUCCAGUGCCUGCUCUGUGUCUUCCUAGCCUUAGUUUCACCUCCUGGGGCCUCAAUUUCUCCAUCAGUAAAAUGGGGACAGUAACCGUCAUAGCACCAGCUCUCAGGCUUCUCAGGGGAGCAGACAGUGAAGCAGUGCACAGAAGUCCUUGGUAAUCCAAGAAGCACCCUCUGGACGGAGCUGCCAGGACAGCCCGCAGCCACCCUGGACUGACCCGUGGGGCUGGGGGCAGCUGGGGAGGCCAAGCGUGUGCACACGGGCACCAGCAGCAGAGCAGACCCCCAGUCUCCUCUCUCAUACCCGAGAUGGGAGAUGAAGACUCCCCUGUGAGUUCCAAACUCCUCCAACCAGUUCUGGCAGGGAAGAAAGGGAGUCCUGGGAAAGCAACUCCCAUGCCUGGGGCUCGGCGGUGACCCACCCAGCCCCUCCCCGGCAGAGGCACUGGUUGCCCUGGAAACUCACCUCGGUGGUGGCCGGUGCUGGCAGAGGUGCCAGCCAAGGUGUCGGGCUUUGGAGAGCGGCACGACGGGCGACGGCCCUUCUCCUGGCGGUCACCACAGAGACACAGGCAAAGAACACAGAGCCCUUCCUCCCCCUGGGCACGGCAGGCCUGGCACAAACCUGGCCUGCUUCCCGGGCCAUGGUGGGGCGAGAGCCAGGUGGGGAGUGGGCCCUGCGGGAGGCCCUCUGCCAGUGUGCUCGUCGCCUGCGUGCCCUAGUGGAGUGGAGCACCCGAGUGCCUGGGCCUGGUGUCACCCGCGUGGCUGUCAUACCUGCUGCUGUGACAGGCAGGACCAGGAAUUCCCGCUUGUACCAGGCCAUGGGCCAGCCGAGGACGAGUGGAGAGGCUGCCCCAAGCUAGCCUAGCUUUCUCCCUUAAUUCUCCAAGUCCCCACUCCCAUUCCCCCUGUGUCGGGGGCCUGGAAACCACCACACAGAGCCAGAAAGGUGACAGAUACAAGUAACCAAAUCAAAACAGGGUUCGGUCAGCAGAGCCACCAGGCGGAUGUGAGUCUAGCCAGAGGCACUGGGAGGCAGGCAGGAGACCCCACUCACUUGUUCUGGAAGGCUUCCCUGCCCCCUAGACCUGAGCUCUUCCAUCCCUGGCACCCAGGCACGAGAUUUCCUUUCUUCUUUUUUUUUUUUUUUUUUUCCCUGAGAUGGAAUCUCGCUCUGUCGCCCAGGCUGGAGUGCAGUGGUGCGACCUCGGCUCACUAUAACCUCUACCUCCCGGUUCAAGUGAUUCUCCUGCCUCAGCCUCCCAGGUAUCUGGGAUUACAGGCACAUGCCACCAUGCUCGGCUAAUUUUUUUUUGAGACAUCGUCUCACUCUGUCACCCAGGCUGGAGUGCAGUGGCAUGGUCUCGGCUCACUGCACCUCUGCCUCCCGGGUUCAAGCGAUUCUCCUGCCUCAGCCUCCUGGGUAGCUGGGACUACAGGCGCAUGCCACCACACCCAGCUAAUUUUUGUAUUUUUAGUAGAGAUGGGGCUUCACUACAUUGGCCAGGCUGGUCUCAAACUCCUGACCUCGUGAUAUGCCUGCCUCAGCCUCCCAAAGUGCUGGGAUUACAGGCAUGAGCCACCACACUCAGCCACUUGGCUAAUUUUUUUGUAUUUUUAUUAGAGAUGGGGUUUUGCCAUGUUGGCCAGGCUGGUUCGAACUCCUGACCUCAGGUGAUCCACCUGCCUUGGCCUCCCAAAGUGGUAAGAUUACAGGUGUGAGCCACCGCACCCGGCCACAAGAUUUCAUUUUAACUGGGCGCAGGGGUGGGGGAUGCCAAUGGUUUGUUUCAUUAAGUAGGGUGGUAAAAAAUAAUAAUAUUACCACCACUACUCCCACCAUUCAGAAAAAACACCACCAAAGGUAACAAGAAAGGGCUGCCAUCAGAAAGAAGGGCAGGCUUGAAAUGAGUACAUUUGGCUUUUAGAAUAAUUUACUAGAGUGACUACUGGAGUUGUAAACAACCACCACCACCACCACAACAAUACAACAACUUACUACCUUGUCCCUGUUUUUCUCAUUUUGCUGCAAACCAGACAUUGGAAGCCAUCAGACGCAUCCAACACACCCGUCUGACAAGUGGAAAGACUGAGCCCCAGAGAGAGCAGGGACUUGCCCAAGAUCUCACAGGAAAAGUGUCUGUCCAGCUGCUCUGCAAAGCUUGCAGACGCUCCUUCCAUCCUGACCUGGGGGCCAGAACACUCAGAGCCCCAACCCCAAAGCCCAGAGAUGCCAGGGCGAAGUCAGAGGCCAAGAGUCUCAGCUACUUCCUUACCUUCCUGGGAACCUGGCCGGGUGGAUGCCCA